CCGACCGCGCGCAGUUUUUUUUAUUCCGAGGGGCGGCCCAAAAGACCGCCGCCCUUUUUUGUAAAAAGCGCGUCAUCCAGAAUAAUUUGUUUAAAGACUUUUUUUUUCCAAACAAAAUUUUUUUACAUAAAACCCUCUUUUUUAAACCCAGGGGGAUAGUCCCUAAGACCUGCCCCCCUGAGAGAAGACCCCCUUGUGCUCCCCCCGGGGGGGACCCGCCGCCCCCCCCGCCCGGGGCGCCCCCCGGGCGGGGCGGGGGCACGGGGGGACUCCUACGGGAGGCAGCAGUAGGGAAUCUUCCACAAUGGACGAAAGUCUGAUGGAGCAACGCCGCGUGAGUGAAGAAGGGUUUCGGCUCGUAAAACUCUGUUGUUAAAGAAGAACGAUAUGGUGAGAGUAACUGUUGCUAGGUAGUGACGUACCACCAGAAGCACGUUCCGG
This 441-nucleotide ribosomal RNA is filed under the name uncultured Lactobacillus sp. Its description in RNAcentral is "partial 16S ribosomal RNA". The stretch from base 120 to 441 matches the Rfam family "Bacterial small subunit ribosomal RNA", at positions 1 to 511 of the family's 1533-position model. Lineage: Bacteria; Bacillati; Bacillota; Bacilli; Lactobacillales; Lactobacillaceae. The record is from RNAcentral.